RNAcentral lists this long non-coding RNA (1094 nucleotides) under Marmota monax (woodchuck). Lineage: Eukaryota; Metazoa; Chordata; Mammalia; Rodentia; Sciuridae. The record is from RNAcentral.
AAAAAUAUUAAGAAUACAUGAUUUAAAUGCUUUGGGCUUUAGCAACAUUUACUGAGUGAUAGUAAAACCUAAAGAUUUCUUCUGAGACCAAAUUUCCAUUUCAUUUGCAGAAGGCCACUUCAUUUAGCCAUUUUCCAUUCACAUAAAGAAAUAUUACCUCAAGAUUAUUAAUGCAACUCUCUGUUGUUAAUUUCUUCUACUUAAAGGAAGUUCUCUGAGAAAGAAGCUAACUUAUUUAUAAAAUUAUGUAUUUGAACUUGAGCCAAGUUAUUUCAUGUAUUAAUGCCACUGAAAGUUGCUCGAUAUAGUACAGGUAGUUUGUACAUUCAUUUUCUUUUCUAUAAUUGAAGACCAAAUAUUUCAAACAAUAAAAAGGAUUUCUAAUAUCAGAUUUAUUUCAGAUCCCUCAAGAAAAAAGGUAUAUAUUAUUACAUUUCCUGUUACAGAAUUUAGAAAUAUUUUCUCUGAUAAUGAAGGCUGUCAUUGAUUUUAGGAAAACUCAAAACUACAUGUAAAAACAAAUAUGCCAAGCAUUAAGUUUGAAAAUUCAAGCUAAAUGCAAGAAGUAUGGUUUGCCAAGAAUUUUAAGUUUAAUCCUGACACAGGUUAAUACUAUUUAAGGUAGGUUUUCUGUAGUGCUAACUUAUCAUUGGUUUUCUUUUUAAAUGCUAUUUUGUCUUUAAUUAAUGCAUAAUAAUUGUUCAUAUUUAUAGAGUACUGUUUGAUGUUCUGAUAUAUAAAUACACCGCACAAUAAUCAAAUUAGCACAGUUAGCUUAUCUAUCCCCUCAAAGGUUAUCUUUUCUUUGUAGUGAGAACAUUCCAUAUCUUUUAGUUACUUUGAAGUGUGUAAUCCAGUUUGUUAACAUAGUUACCUUAGUAAACAUCAGACCUUACUUUUCCUAACUGUAAUUUUGUACCUGUUGGCCCUUCUUUUCCCAUCUCCCACUCAUCCUGAGACCAAAUGUGAACAUCAAACAUAGAGUUCACAUGCAUAAGCCAUUCUCUUUCCAUCAGUUCUUUUGAUUUAAAAAAAAAAUCAUUCUACUUCAGGGAUUUUGUUUUGUUUUCAGCUUCUUUUUAUUUAGGUAAUUC